RNAcentral lists this ribosomal RNA (268 nucleotides) under uncultured bacterium. RNAcentral's name for it is "partial 16S ribosomal RNA". It matches the Rfam family "Bacterial small subunit ribosomal RNA", at positions 335 to 620 of the family's 1533-position model. The record is from RNAcentral.
UGCCCUACGGGAGGCAGCAGUGGGGAAUAUUGCACAAUGGGGGAAACCCUGAUGCAGCGACGCCGCGUGAAGGAAGAAGUAUUUCGGUAUGUAAACUUCUAUCAGCAGGGAAGAAAAUGACGGUACCUGACUAAGAAGCCCCGGCUAACUACGUGCCAGCAGCCGCGGUAAUACGUAGGGGGCAAGCGUUAUCCGGAUUUACUGGGUGUAAAGGGAGCGUAGACGGCAGCGCAAGUCUGGAGUGAAAUGCGGGGGCCCAACCCCGGAA